GAUGAACGCUGGCGGCGUGCCUAAUACAUGCAAGUCGAGCGAACAGACGAGGAGCUUGCUCCUCUGACGUUAGCGGCGGACGGGUGAGUAACACGUGGAUAACCUACCUAUAAGACUGGGAUAACUUCGGGAAACCGGAGCUAAUACCGGAUAAUAUAUUGAACCGCAUGGUUCAAUAGUGAAAGACGGUUUUGCUGUCACUUAUAGAUGGAUCCGCGCCGCAUUAGCUAGUUGGUAAGGUAACGGCUUACCAAGGCAACGAUGCGUAGCCGACCUGAGAGGGUGAUCGGCCACACUGGAACUGAGACACCGUCCAGACUCCUACGGGAGGCAGCAGUAGGGAAUCUUCCGCAAUGGGCGAAAGCCUGACGGAGCAACGCCGCGUGAGUGAUGAAGGUCUUCGGAUCGUAAAACUCUGUUAUUAGGGAAGAACAAAUGUGUAAGUAACUAUGCACGUCUUGACGGUACCUAAUCAGAAAGCCACGGCUAACUACGU
Molecule: ribosomal RNA, 496 nt
Filed under: uncultured bacterium
Lineage: Bacteria
Description: partial 16S ribosomal RNA
Rfam family: Bacterial small subunit ribosomal RNA
Source: RNAcentral